AUGAGCUAAAUAUGGGUGUUAUGGUCAGUUGCUAUUCUAUAUAAGUUUCUAGACAACGUAAGUGAUUUGUAGUAAGAUACGGGCGGAGGCCAGCAGUAACUGUUUAACCAGUGUUGGAAGAGGAUGUGUAGACCAGUGUGGUUGACCAGCGGGUGGUAAAUUCUUCACCUGCUACACGUCUCCAACCCAGGGUGUCGACUGGAUAGUCUUCAACUGCCUCCCACCAUGAUAAGCUCCCGAGCCAAUGUUCCCUGUGGCGAAGUGAGGAAGUAGUUUCCUGAAGUAGCAUAUGGCAUGGUAUGGCACCGUUUCUAACCAGCGGCUGGCACCAACUCUGGCAAACGUCGUAGUGGAUGACGCCCAGAUCCUAUGGGGGAAGUCUACAUUAACAUGGAAAAGCUCCCACUUGUGCGAUUUUGAUUGGUGGACUGUGACUUGGUCCUUCAUCUAUUGAAAGAUAUCAAGUUGGCUGGAACAGAUGGUAGUUUUCUACUGUGCCAAUUGUGGGCUGUAUGAAUAGGAGCAACAUCUGCAAAAUUCCAAUCUAGGUGGUAAUGAUUACAAUGGUAUCAAAGCAUUGACUGGCUAAAGAAAUGUGACUGUUCUAUUCUGCCCAUCUGAAGCUGAUUGUGGAGGGUCCUUCCAACAUAACUUCAGGAACAGUGUACAGAACAACUGCCGGAAGUUACAUGCUACAGAAAGUAGCCCGGGUGUCAAAAUUAGAGGGCAAAAAAUAUGGAUUGGGAAGUAGAGAACAUCAUCCUAGAGUUUGAAGGUUGUUUCACACUCGGAAUUGGGUUUUUAUAGACUACAAUGGUAUCCAAGCUUUGACUGGCUUAAGAAGUGUGGCUGUUUUACUCUGCACAUCUAUUAAGCUGGUUGUAGAGGGUCCUUCCAACAAAACUUCAGGAACAGUGUACAGAACAAAUGGCAAAAGUUGUGCUACAGAAAGUAGCACGGUUGAAAGAAUUAAGAUGGGAAAAAAUAUGGAUUGGGACGUCUAGAAUGUCAUCUUGGAGUUUGAAGGUGUUGCUUGUUUGACAUUCAGAAUCAGGUGUUAAUGAAGAUAACUGGUAUCAAAGUAUUGAGGCUGUUCUACUCUGCACAUCUAAUAAACUGGUGGAUGUUGUCCUUGGUACUCUGGAGUUUUCCCUGGCCUUUUGAUGAUCUUUUGGAGUCUUCAGUGGAUUGCAUCUAGGAGGAGCAGCUUCCCACAACCUGAAAUGGACAAUAGUCAACAUUAGAUGUUACACUGUAUACUAUGCAAUAAAUAUUCUAAUGAAACUA
Procambarus clarkii (red swamp crayfish) is the source of this 1287-nucleotide non-coding RNA. NCBI's taxonomy places the organism in Eukaryota, Metazoa, Arthropoda, Malacostraca, Decapoda, Cambaridae. The record is from RefSeq and is a predicted model, not a curated record.